GAUGAAGAACGUAGCGAAAUGCGAUAAGUAGUGUGAAUUGCAGAAUUCAGUGAAUCAUCGAAUCUUUGAACGCACAUUGCGCCCCUUGGUAUUCCAUGUGGCAUGCCUGUUCGAGCGUCAUUUGUACCUUCAAGCUUUGCUUGGUGUUGGGUGUUUGUCUCGCCUCCGCGUGUAGACUCGCCUCAAAACAAUUGGCAGCCGGCGUAUUGAUUUCGGAGCGCAGUACAUCUCGCGCUUUGCACUCACAACGACGACGUCCAAAAGUACAUUUUUACACUCUUGACCUCGGAUCAGGUAGGGAUACCCGCUGAACUUAAGCAUAUCAAUAAGCGGAGGA
This 337-nucleotide unclassified non-coding RNA is filed under the name soil metagenome. RNAcentral's name for it is "partial contains 5.8S ribosomal RNA, internal transcribed spacer 2, and large subunit ribosomal RNA". The stretch from base 1 to 120 matches the Rfam family "5.8S ribosomal RNA", at positions 35 to 154 of the family's 154-position model. The record is from RNAcentral.